UACGAAGGGGGCUAGCGUUGCUCGGAAUUACUGGGCGUAAAGCGCACGUAGGCGGCUUUCUAAGUCGGGGGUGAAAUCCUGGAGCUCAACUCCAGAACUGCCUUCGAUACUGGAAAGCUCGAGUCCGGGAGAGGUGAGUGGAAAUGCGAGUGUAGAGGUGAAAUUCGUAGAUAUUCGCAAGAACACCAGUGGCGAAGGCGGCUCACUGGCCCGGUACUGACGCUGAGGUGCGAAAGCGUGGGGAGCAAACAGG
Molecule: ribosomal RNA, 253 nt
Filed under: uncultured bacterium
Lineage: Bacteria
Description: partial 16S ribosomal RNA
Rfam family: Bacterial small subunit ribosomal RNA
Source: RNAcentral